AGUAAAAUUUUAAACCAAAUCCAAGACAGGAUGAGCACCCUCUUUGGAUUCUGACCUUGUGGGCUGUGCUCCACUGUACGAAGAAUAAGGCCUUAUGGGUUGCAAUCAAAGAAGGCAAUCCAUCAAGAAACUCCAACGAAAUGACGAAAACAUAAAGCCGGCAAGCAAUGAAAAUUUACAGAUUGAUUUGAUCCAAAAUCCAUUCGAUGUGUUCCGGAGAAGGGAGAGCUCACUGGAGCGUAUUUGAGGGAGUGAGAAGCAUGGCCUCAUCAACCCCAGAAACUCUCAUGGCUGAAAUCGACACUGCUAUCAGCAAAUUGGAAUACAGCCGCGCCACUGCACUUCUAGACUCUCCCUCACCAACACCCACCAACACAUCAAAGACUAGCAUGAGCUCCGAUUCAGGUGCCAAUCCUCAAUACGAUGCGAAAAUGGCAGAUGGGGCUUACAGGGCAGGUUGUGCAUCCUUGGCUGCAGGGAAACUUGAUGAGGCUCUUCAAUAUUUGAACGUCUCUCUCUCGAAAUGUCCUCCUGAUAAAACCUCUGCUGUUGCCAAGCUUCAGUCUCUUAUUUCUCUUACUUCACAGCAACUCCAGAAAUUGCCCACCUGACUCCUUCAUUUUUGUUUGCUGUGUGAAUGCUUUCCCAACUUCUCGUACAAUUAUUUGGCUUAAUCUACUUGGUGAUGUGGGAACAAGAGGUAGAGAACAGAGGAAAUGGGAGUUGCAGCGAGCCAUCAACGUUUCCAAUAGUUGAGUGUGAUCUUUAUCAAUGCAGUGUGUGCCGUGUUCUUCUCACUUGCUUUUAGCUUAUUAGUGGUUUCGACGUGAGAAUCAGACAUUGAGUUAACUUUGGAAUUGUUCUGUAUAUGGAACUUAAAUGAAAUGAUGGAUCCAUUUGGAUGUAUAGUUUUGUAUCGUGGUCAUGAGUCUAUAUCAUUUAAUAUUUGUUGUGAUGUAUCAUUGCUAGCAGCUGUCUGUUGUAAAAUUCCUUUAUACCCAAAUCUUUUGUGUUGAGAUAUGUAUUUUCUACCACCUUCAGUAGAGAUGUUUUCAUUUGCACAGUGAAAUUGUAUGUCUGAGUAUGUUUCAAUGUUU
Molecule: long non-coding RNA, 1097 nt
Organism: Populus euphratica (Euphrates poplar)
Lineage: Eukaryota; Viridiplantae; Streptophyta; Magnoliopsida; Malpighiales; Salicaceae
Exons: 2
Source: RefSeq, a predicted model, not a curated record